AGAGUUUGAUCCUGGCUCAGGAUGAACGCUAGCUACAGGCUUAACACAUGCAAGUCGAGGGGCAGCAUCAUCAAAGCUUGCUUUGAUGGAUGGCGACCGGCGCACGGGUGAGUAACACGUAUCCAACCUGCCGACAACACUGGGAUAGCCUUUCGAAAGAAAGAUUAAUACCGGAUGGCAUAGUUUUCCCGCAUGGGAUAAUUAUUAAAGAAUUUCGGUUGUCGAUGGGGAUGCGUUCCAUUAGGCAGUUGGCGGGGUAACGGCCCACCAAACCAACGAUGGAUAGGGGUUCUGAGAGGAAGGUCCCCCACAUUGGAACUGAGACACGGUCCAAACUCCUACGGGAGGCAGCAGUGAGGAAUAUUGGUCAAUGGACGAGAGUCUGAACCAGCCAAGUAGCGUGAAGGAUGACUGCCCUAUGGGUUGUAAACUUCUUUUAUACGGGAAUAAAGUUAGCCACGUGUGGCUUUUUGUAUGUACCGUAUGAAUAAGGAUCGGCUAACUCCGUGCCAGCAGCCGCGGUAAUACGGAGGAUCCGAGCGUUAUCCGGAUUUAUUGGGUUUAAAGGGAGCGUAGGCGGGUUGUUAAGUCAGUUGUGAAAGUUUGCGGCUCAACCGUAAAAUUGCAGUUGAUACUGGCGACCUUGAGUGCAACAGAGGUAGGCGGAAUUCGUGGUGUAGCGGUGAAAUGCUUAGAUAUCACGAAGAACUCCGAUUGCGAAGGCAGCUUACUGGAUUGUAACUGACGCUGAUGCUCGAAAGUGUGGGUAUCAAACAGGAUUAGAUACCCUGGUAGUCCACACAGUAAACGAUGAAUACUCGCUGUUUGCGAUAUACAGUAAGCGGCCAAGCGAAAGCAUUAAGUAUUCCACCUGGGGAGUACGCCGGCAACGGUGAAACUCAAAGGAAUUGACGGGGGCCCGCACAAGUGGAGGAACAUGUGGUUUAAUUCGAUGAUACGCGAGGAACCUUACCCGGGCUUAAAUUGCAACAGAAUAUAUUGGAAACAGUAUAGCCGUAAGGCUGUUGUGAAGGUGCUGCAUGGUUGUCGUCAGCUCGUGCCGUGAGGUGUCGGCUUAAGUGCCAUAACGAGCGCAACCCUUAUCUUUAGUUACUAACAGGUCAUGCUGAGGACUCUAGAGAGACUGCCGUCGUAAGAUGUGAGGAAGGUGGGGAUGACGUCAAAUCAGCACGGCCCUUACGUCCGGGGCUACACACGUGUUACAAUGGGGGGUACAGAAGGCGGCUACCUGGUGACAGGAUGCUAAUCCCAAAAGCCGGUCGUAGUUCGGAUUGGAGUCUGUAACCCGACUCCAUGAAGUUGGAUUCGCUAGUAAUCGCGCAUCAGCCAUGGCGCGGUGAAUACGUUCCCGGGCCUUGCACACACCGCCCGUCA
RNAcentral lists this ribosomal RNA (1395 nucleotides) under uncultured bacterium. RNAcentral's name for it is "16S ribosomal RNA". It matches the Rfam family "Bacterial small subunit ribosomal RNA". The record is from RNAcentral.